Molecule: transfer-messenger RNA, 362 nt
Filed under: Fervidobacterium thailandense
Lineage: Bacteria; Thermotogati; Thermotogota; Thermotogae; Thermotogales; Fervidobacteriaceae
Also listed under: 1 other name
Rfam family: transfer-messenger RNA
About the family: Bacterial tmRNA, also known as 10Sa RNA or SsrA, is named for its dual tRNA and mRNA-like properties. Its role is to liberate the mRNA from a stalled ribosome.
Source: RNAcentral
GGGGGCGAACGGUUUCGACGGGGGUAGGCCUCCUCGGGAAGCGAGCCGAGGUUGCCUGCCGUCCUCGUAAAAAAACGGCAGGGAAAAGAUAAGUGCCAACGAAUACGUUCCUCUCGCUGCCUAGUUAGUUAAGGCAGCCGUCCACCACAAGGGUUGGCUGGCCUCUUGUGGUUGGGCGUGACGUAGCCAGCCAGGUAGCCGGACUUUGCCUCACGGUCCGGGUUACCUUACCUAGUGAGGCUGGUCGCAACGGAGCCUGUCUGUGGGCGUCGUUGCGACGAGAAUCAAAACACAGACUGCGCUCGGAGAUGCCCGAGGGGACUUACUUUCGGACGCGGGUUCGAUUCCCGCCGCCUCCACCA